UACGGAGGAUCCGAGCGUUAUCCGGAUUUAUUGGGUUUAAAGGGUGCGUAGGCGGCCUUUUAAGUCAGCGGUGAAAGUCUGUGGCUCAACCAUAGAAUUGCCGUUGAAACUGGGGGGCUUGAGUAUGUUUGAGGCAGGCGGAAUGCGUGGUGUAGCGGUGAAAUGCAUAGAUAUCACGCAGAACCCCGAUUGCGAAGGCAGCCUGCCAACCAUUACUGACGCUGAUGCACGAAAGCGUGGGGAUCAAACAGG
This 252-nucleotide ribosomal RNA is filed under the name Parabacteroides distasonis. RNAcentral's name for it is "partial 16S ribosomal RNA". It matches the Rfam family "Bacterial small subunit ribosomal RNA", at positions 524 to 776 of the family's 1533-position model. The record is from RNAcentral. Lineage: Bacteria; Pseudomonadati; Bacteroidota; Bacteroidia; Bacteroidales; Tannerellaceae.